CAUUCCUCCUCCUCCUUUUUUUUCCUCCUUCUUCCUUCUUUUACUCUAUUUUCCUUCCUUCCUUCCUUCCUUCCUUCACAGUUCAAACGUUGCACCUUCACUUUUUAAACUCUUUAUUAUUAUUGUCGCCUUUACAAUAGGUGGACAUAAACUUAAUGUACUUUCAGAGAGUCCAAAAGUACAAGAAUCACUUAAAAUUUAACAUCCCUUUCACACCAAAGUUAAAACGAGGUGGUGGUGGUGGUGGGUGGGUGGUGGUGGUAGUGGUGAUGGUGGUGGUGUUGUUGGUGGUGGUCUGAGUGCCAAAGUGCCUCCUACCGUGUGGCCCUGCCCUGGCCUGUCACUGCUGCAACUGUGCCACUGUAUAUAACUGAUUGGGAAAGGCUGGGAGUGACUGGGAGAGGAUGGGAGUGACUGGGAGAGGCUGAGAGAGGCUGGAAUGGAUUGGGAGAGGCUGGGAUAGACUGGGAGAGCAUGGGAGUGACUGGGAGGCAAUGGGAGAGGCUGGGAGUGACUGGGAGAGGCUGGGAGUGUGUGCCUGGCUUGAAAAAUACUUGAUAUAUCAAUAAAGUUUCAGCGUGUUUUGACAAGAGUUGUAGGGGCCAAAACAGCGCCAAGCAGUAGCAGCAGCGGCAGCAGGAGCACCCCACACACACACACACACACACACACACACACACACACACACAUACAAACAAGGCAAAG
This is a long non-coding RNA of Portunus trituberculatus (swimming crab), 705 nucleotides long. RefSeq lists it as uncharacterized. Lineage: Eukaryota; Metazoa; Arthropoda; Malacostraca; Decapoda; Portunidae. The transcript is spliced from 2 exons. The record is from RefSeq and is a predicted model, not a curated record.